This is an unclassified non-coding RNA of Saimiri boliviensis boliviensis (Bolivian squirrel monkey), 282 nucleotides long. It matches the Rfam family "Metazoan signal recognition particle RNA". From Rfam's summary of the family: The signal recognition particle (SRP) is a universally conserved ribonucleoprotein. It is involved in the co-translational targeting of proteins to membranes. NCBI's taxonomy places the organism in Eukaryota, Metazoa, Chordata, Mammalia, Primates, Cebidae. The record is from Ensembl.
GCUUAAUAUAACUAUGGCCAGGCAUGGUGGCAUCCUAGCACCUCAGGAAGCUGGGAUAGGAGGAUCACUUGAGCCUAGGUGUUCUGGGCUAUAGUAUGCUAUGCUAAUAGGGUGUCUGCGUUAAGUUCAGCAUCAAUUUGGUGACUUCUUGGGAGUCGGGACCACCAGGUUGCCUAAGGUGGAGUGAACUGGCCCAGGUUGGAAAUGUGCUGAUUGGUAGUGGGAUCAUGCCUGUGAAUAGUCACUGCAGCCCAGCCUGGGCAACGGUGAAACUUCAUCUCU